UACGAAGGGGGCUAGCGUUGCUCGGAAUUACUGGGCGUAAAGAGCGCGCAGGCGGUCGUAUAAGUCGAAUGUGAAAGCCCCUGGCUCAACUAGGGAGAGUCAUUCGAUACUGUUCGACUCGAAGGCAGGAGAGGGAAGUGGAAUUCCGGGUGUAGUGGUGAAAUGCGUAGAUAUCCGGAGGAACACCAGUGGCGAAGGCGACUUUCUGGCCUGUUCUUGACGCUGAGGCGCGAAAGCUAGGGGAGCAAACGGG
Molecule: ribosomal RNA, 253 nt
Filed under: uncultured bacterium
Lineage: Bacteria
Description: partial 16S ribosomal RNA
Rfam family: Bacterial small subunit ribosomal RNA
Source: RNAcentral